Molecule: ribosomal RNA, 510 nt
Filed under: uncultured bacterium
Lineage: Bacteria
Description: partial 16S ribosomal RNA
Rfam family: Bacterial small subunit ribosomal RNA
Source: RNAcentral
GACGAACGCUGGCGGCGUGCUUAACACAUGCAAGUCGAACGAAGAGCGAUGGAAGCUUGCUUCUAUCAAUCUUAGUGGCGAACGGGUGAGUAACGCGUAAUCAACCUGCCCUUCAGAGGGGGACAACAGUUGGAAACGACUGCUAAUACCGCAUACGAUCCAAUCUCGGCAUCGGGACUGGAUGAAAGGUGGCCUCUAUUUAUAAGCUAUCACUGAAGGAGGGGAUUGCGUCUGAUUAGCUAGUUGGAGGGGUAACGGCCCACCAAGGCGAUGAUCAGUAGCCGGUCUGAGAGGAUGAACGGCCACAUUGGGACUGAGACACGGCCCAGACUCCUACGGGAGGCAGCAGUGGGGAAUCUUCCGCAAUGGACGAAAGUCUGACGGAGCAACGCCGCGUGAGUGAUGACGGCCUUCGGGCUGUAAAGCUCUGUUAAUCGGGACGAAUGGUUCUUGUGCGAAUAGUGCGAGGAUUUGACGGUACCGGAAGAGAAAGCCACGGCUAACUACGUG